UUUUAAUUUGGCUUUGGUUAUAAUAUAAGCUAUAGCUAAUUUUAUAUAUGUUAGGUUUUUGUUGUGUAAUCGGUUUGUUUAUAUAUGUUACUAAUUUUUUUAGUUUAAUACUUAUUAAUUGGUGACUUGUGUCAUUAGUAUUUAUUAGGAUGAUAGUAAUAGGCUACGCAGUAUUUAUUAUUGUACAAUGGAUGAAAGUUUGAUAUAGUUAAUGUAUUUAAAGGUGGUUAAAUUGGUGCCAGCAUCUGCGGUUAUACCUAUACUUUAAGUUUAUAUUUAUAUAGUAUAAAAUAAAGUAUUAAGUUUAAAUUUGUUAGAACUAAUGAGUAUAGUAAUUGUAGGUAAAAUUUAAUUAUUGUAAUUAACUAAAUGGUUCUAAUAUAAAUUCUUUGAAAAUAAGGUUUGUAUAAACUAGGAUUAGAGACCCUAUUAUUCUUUAUCUUAAAAAUUUUUACUUAAGUAGUAUGGACAAUAUUAUAUUAUUUGUAUGUCUGAAAUUUAAAAGGCUUGGCGGUGUUAUAUAUCCUUCUAGGGGAGUUUGCUUAUUAAUUUGAUAAUCCUCAAUUUAUACUUACUUUUUUUUGAAUUGUAAACAGUUUGUGUAUUGCUGUCGUCAGUUUAUUUUGUAAAAAUUUUGUAAAAAACUUAAUAACGAUUUGGUUAUGAUGUCAAGUCAAAAUGCAGUUAAUAAGAAAGGUUUAAAAGUGAGCUACAAUUUAUAAUAUUUAAUCAGAUUAAAUAGUGUAAUUUAUUUAUGAAGUUGGACUUGGUAGUAAUAAAGGUUUUAAAGUAGUGGGUUUUUAUGAAUUAGGUUUUAUAAUGCGUACAUAUCGCCCGUCGCUCUUGUUGGAAAAUAAGAUAAGUCGUAACAUAGUAGGGGUAGUGGAAGCUGCUCCUGGGAUGAA
This 905-nucleotide ribosomal RNA is filed under the name Bathothauma lyromma. Its description in RNAcentral is "12S ribosomal RNA". The stretch from base 458 to 898 matches the Rfam family "Microsporidia small subunit ribosomal RNA", at positions 752 to 1303 of the family's 1311-position model. Lineage: Eukaryota; Metazoa; Mollusca; Cephalopoda; Oegopsida; Cranchiidae. The record is from RNAcentral.